CAUUAUUUAAAUGAAUACUUCUGAGCCCACUUUAUCGUUAGCUUUUUUUUUUUAAGUGAAAAGUUUGUUUUUGGAUGAACUUGAAAUAUGUGAGCGACUAUUUUUAGAAUUGAUAUUUAAAUCAUUUGUAGGGACUUCUGUGGUGGGGACUGUUUUCUUUGUGUGGGAGACGGUUUUCAAAGGCAGUUGAAACAUCUGGCAGAGUCUCAAAGUAGUGUUCUAAACAUAACAUUUAGAGGUAAAGGUGAAGUAAUUUUCCAAUCCUUACCUGGUCCUUCUUCUAAGAAGAGCGCUACCAAAACCAGAGAAGAAGAAGAGUAUCAACUUUGAUUCUAGGGAUUCUUUUGUCUCCUUCUAUGUUGAUUUGUGAGUGGCUGUGCCAAUUUACUUGUCUAAAGAAUUCUUUUUUCUUGAGAAAGUAACUCUUGGCGCGAAAUGUCUAGUUUUUAUAAUUAAGGAUAAUCUACGAAUGUUUUCCUUCUCUGGGAUACUGUACCAAAGUUGUUAUUAUUUUAGUUUUGUCUUGCUAUGUUUUUAUUACUUCUUUUUAAUAACUAUAUAAGAAGCAGACUAGCGUCGAUAAUUAAGAAUACAACUGGCUGUCUGACAUGUUCCUUUUUCUUGGUGCUUCUGUUGCCUCCUUUGUCCAGCGGGGUUAACAGGGCCUAAUUCGUGGGUUGUUGGAAGCUUAAGUGAUAUAUGUGUCAGGUCUUCAUGCUGAUAUGUACAUUGUAAAAUGACAUCUCUGAAGUGCUGACAUCAAGAAGCCAUAAAUGUAAACGUGUAGCUGUCUAAUAAAAGAGCUUCGUGAUACAUGUAGUAAAACUUGAUAGAAUUAAUGGAUCAGAAUCACAAAUCCACACUUAUAGUGGAGAGUUCAGUUAGGCCAAAAAAAAAAAAAAAAAAAAAAAAAACACAGUAAAGACACAGAAGAUCUAAGUUACACUAUUAACUACUGACUUGAUAUUUGUAGACUACUGAAUCUAAUAGCGGUGUGAUGCACCAUGUUCUCAAGUGCUCAUGGUAACCUCACCAGAAAGACUAUUUGCAGGGCACAAGUCUCAGUAAAUUUGGAAAGAUUGAAAUCGACAGAAUAUAUUCUCUGCCAACAACAGAAUGAAAUUAGAAAUCAAUACUGAUAAAACAUCUAUUAAAAUAUGGAGAUUAAACAACACAGUUCUUUGACCGAUGGGUUAUUUAGAAGAAAACCCUGAGAGAAGUUAGGAUAUAAUUCAAAUUAAAUGAUAAUGAAAUUACAGCAUAUCUGUUAUGUGGGAUGCAGCUGAAACAGUGCUUAAAGGGAAAUUUCUAGCUUUAAAUAACUACUAGAAAAGUUACCUAAGACUUUAUCUAAGAAAUAUAAAAAAAGGUCAAAGAACAUGGAGAGUAAGUAGAAGGGAAAGAUAAUAAAAAUAAGAAAUUGGUGACUAGAAAAGGGACAAUUAAUUAUCAACACCAAAAGCUGGUUCUGUAGAAAGAUCAAAAGUUGGCAACCCCCUCUUUGACUAAUGAC
Molecule: long non-coding RNA, 1513 nt
Organism: Lynx canadensis (Canada lynx)
Lineage: Eukaryota; Metazoa; Chordata; Mammalia; Carnivora; Felidae
Exons: 2
Source: RefSeq, a predicted model, not a curated record